Molecule: ribosomal RNA, 499 nt
Filed under: uncultured bacterium
Lineage: Bacteria
Description: bacterial SSU rRNA
Rfam family: Bacterial small subunit ribosomal RNA
Source: RNAcentral
GAUGAACGCUAGCGGCAGGCUUAAUACAUGCAAGUUGAGGGGCAGCAUGAUAUACGCGAGUUAUAUUGAUGGCGACCGGCGGACGGGUGAGUAAUAGGUAGGAGACCUACCUCAUACAGGGGGAUAGCAUAGAGAAAUCUGUGGUAAUACCCCAUGAGGUUAUAUGAAUAGAGGCAUAUAAUCAAAGCAUAAGCGAUUAUGCGGUAUGAGGAGGGGCCUACUGACCAUUAGCUAGUUGGUGAGGUAAGGGCUCACCAAGGCGAAGAUGGUUAGGGGUUUUGAGAGAGACGACCCCCCACAUUGGAACUGAGAGACGGUCCAGACUCCUACGGGAGGCAGCAGUAGGGAAUAUUGGGCAAUGGGCGAAAGCCUGACCCAGCCAUGCCGCGUGAAGGAAGACGGCCUUAUGGGUUGUAAACUUCUUUACUACGCGAAUAGAGGUUAGUACGAGAUACUAAUAGGAAGGUAGUGUAGUAAAAAAGCACCGGCUAACUCCGUG